CGAUGUCUACUUGGAGGUUGUGCCCUUGAGGCGUGGCUUCCGGAGCUAACGCGUUAAGUAGACCGCCUGGGGAGUACGGCCGCAAGGUUAAAACUCAAAUGAAUUGACGGGGGCCCGCACAAGCGGUGGAGCAUGUGGUUUAAUUCGAUGCAACGCGAAGAACCUUACCUGGUCUUGACAUCCACGGAAGUUUUCAGAGAUGAGAAUGUGCCUUCGGGAACCGUGAGACAGGUGCUGCAUGGCUGUCGUCAGCUCGUGUUGUGAAAUGUUGGGUUAAGUCCCGCAACGAGCGCAACCCUUAUCCUUUGUUGCCAGCGGUCCGGCCGGGAACUCAAAGGAGACUGCCAGUGAUAAACUGGAGGAAGGUGGGGAUGACGUCAAGUCAUCAUGGCCCUUACGACCAGGGCUACACACGUGCUACAAUGGCGCAUACAAAGAGAAGCGACCUCGCGAGAGCAAGCGGACCUCAUAAAGUGCGUCGUAGUCCGGAUUGGAGUCUGCAACUCGACUCCAUGAAGUCGGAAUCGCUAGUAAUCGUGGAUCAGAAUGCCACGGUGAAUACGUUCCCGGGCCUUGUACACACCGCCCGUCACACCAUGGGAGUGGGUUGCAAAAGAAGUAGGUAGCUUAACCUUCGGGAGGGCGCUUACCACUUUGUGAUUCAUGACUGGGGUGAAGUCGUAACAAGGUAACCGUAGGGGAACCUGCGGUUGGAUCACCUCCUUACCUUAAAGAAGC
RNAcentral lists this ribosomal RNA (738 nucleotides) under Salmonella enterica subsp. enterica serovar Paratyphi A. Its description in RNAcentral is "bacterial SSU rRNA". It matches the Rfam family "Bacterial small subunit ribosomal RNA", at positions 807 to 1533 of the family's 1533-position model. The record is from RNAcentral. Lineage: Bacteria; Pseudomonadati; Pseudomonadota; Gammaproteobacteria; Enterobacterales; Enterobacteriaceae.